ACAUGCAGUCGAGCGGCAGCGCGGGGGCAACCCUGGCGGCGAGCGGCGGACGGGUGAGGAAGCUCGGAAUCUGCCUCGUUGUGGGGGAUAACGUAGGGAAACUAAACGCUAAUACCGCAUACGACCGAGAGGUGAAAGUGGGGGACCGCAAGGCCUCACGCGAUGAGAUGAGCCGAUGCCGGAUUAGCUAGUUGGUGGGGUAAAGGCCCACCAAGGCGACGAUCCGUAGCUGGUCUGAGAGGAUGAUCA
RNAcentral lists this ribosomal RNA (249 nucleotides) under Lysobacter sp. RNAcentral's name for it is "partial 16S ribosomal RNA". It matches the Rfam family "Bacterial small subunit ribosomal RNA", at positions 53 to 306 of the family's 1533-position model. Lineage: Bacteria; Pseudomonadati; Pseudomonadota; Gammaproteobacteria; Lysobacterales; Lysobacteraceae. The record is from RNAcentral.